Molecule: ribosomal RNA, 531 nt
Filed under: uncultured bacterium
Lineage: Bacteria
Description: bacterial SSU rRNA
Rfam family: Bacterial small subunit ribosomal RNA
Source: RNAcentral
GGCGCACGGGUGAGUAACGCGUGGGUGAUCUGCCUCCGAGUGGGGAAUAACAGCGGGAAACUGCUGCUAAUACCGCAUGACAUCCUCGGGUCGCACUGAGGAUCAAAGCCGGGGACCGCAAGGCCUGGCGCUUGGAGAUGAGCCCGCGUCCGAUUAGCUAGUUGGCGGGGUAAUGGCCCACCAAGGCUCCGAUCGGUAGCCGGCCUGAGAGGGCGGACGGCCACACUGGGACUGAGACACGGCCCAGACUCCUACGGGAGGCAGCAGUGGGGAAUUUUUCGCAAUGGGGGAAACCCUGACGAAGCAACGCCGCGUGGAGGAUGAAGGCCUUCGGGUCGUAAACUCCUGUCGACCGGGAAGAAUGCACCCGACCUAAUACGUCGAAGUGUUGACUGUACCGGUGGAGGAAGCCACGGCUAACUCUGUGCCAGCAGCCGCGGUAAUACAGAGGUGGCAAGCGUUGUUCGGAAUUACUGGGCGUAAAGGGCGCGUAGGCGGCCCGCCAAGUCCCGUGUGAAAGCCCCCGGCUCA